This 484-nucleotide ribosomal RNA is filed under the name Sierraperla cora (giant roachfly). RNAcentral's name for it is "partial 16S ribosomal RNA". It matches the Rfam family "Archaeal large subunit ribosomal RNA", at positions 1888 to 2613 of the family's 2987-position model. The record is from RNAcentral. Lineage: Eukaryota; Metazoa; Arthropoda; Insecta; Plecoptera; Peltoperlidae.
UCGCCUGUUUAUCAAAAACAUGUCCUCUUGUUUAUUAAUUAUUUGAGGUCUGACCUGCCCACUGAAUUUUAUUUUGAAGGGCCGCGGUAUUUUGACCGUGCAAAGGUAGCAUAAUCAUUAGUCUUUUAAUUGAAGGCUAGAAUGAAUGGUUGGACGAGGUAUUGACUGUCUCGGUGUGAUUGGAGUUAGAAUUUAACUUUUAAGUCAAAAGGCUUAAAUGUUUUUAGAGGACGAGAAGACCCUAUAGAGCUUGAUAUCUAAAGAUUGGUAUUUGUUUAGAUAAAUUUUUAUUAUAAUUUUGAAGGUAUUUUGUUGGGGUGACAGGAAGAUAUAUUAAACUCUUUUUUUUAUUAACAUUGAUGUAUGAUUUAUUGAUCCAUUAGUAGUGAUUAUAAGACUAAGUUACCUUAGGGAUAACAGCGUAAUCUUUUUCGAGAGUUCUUAUCGACAAAAAGGGUUGCGACCUCGAUGUUGGAUUAAGGGU